This 212-nucleotide ribosomal RNA is filed under the name Clostridioides difficile. RNAcentral describes it as "partial 16S ribosomal RNA". It matches the Rfam family "Bacterial small subunit ribosomal RNA", at positions 302 to 531 of the family's 1533-position model. Lineage: Bacteria; Bacillati; Bacillota; Clostridia; Peptostreptococcales; Peptostreptococcaceae. The record is from RNAcentral.
GAUCGGCCACAUUGGAACUGAGACACGGUCCAAACUCCUACGGGAGGCAGCAGUGGGGAAUAUUGCACAAUGGGCGAAAGCCUGAUGCAGCAACGCCGCGUGAGGGAUGAAGGCCUUCGGGUCGUAAAACUCUGUCCUCAAGGAAGAUAAUGACGGGACUUGAGGAGGAAGCCCCGGCUAACUACGUGCCAGCAGCCGCGGUAAUACGUAGG